AUGUCUACUAACCGGGAAGCCAUGAUGAAGCUAGAAGAGAAGUUGAAAGAAAUGGAGGAGGGGAUAGUAGAAAAGAGGAUCGAAGCAUUGGAGGACAUUACGAGGUCGAUCAGAAAAUCACGGAAACCACGGAAAGCGUCGACUUUGGGGAUUGAAGGGUUCGCCCCAAAGUUUCACGCUGACUUGGGUCUGAGGACGCUUUGCUCUGGAAGGACUCUGGGGGAACAAAGAGAGGAAAGACAGUCGAUCUUUGAGAAGAACCGGAGGCAGAGCAUUGCAUUGCAGACUGAGGAGGGGGAGUUUGACACAGAAGAUGGGUUGCCACUCUCUAUGCCUUUGAUGAAGGGGCUAAAGGGAGAACCAGUGUAUCAGCCCUAUAACAUCAGAGACCUGGAGGCGCUGGUGAAGCAACUACCACAGAUCACAGAGGGAGGAGCCGCUUGGCUGAGGAGGCUCCGCAGUCUAACAGAAGGAGAAGAGUUGGCCUUGGGUGAUUUUAGAGCAGUAGGUGGGCAAGUCAUGAGAGGAGGUGGUCUAGCCGAUGUGGAACAAAUGGCAGGAACUACGUGUGCAGCAAAUGAAGUCCCCUAUGAAAGGGUGCGAAAUGCUCUCGCUGAUGCAGUGCGUGAUAAGUAUCUGACCCCCAACACUGGCACCACACCUAAAAUAGUGUGGAGCCCAGAACACACUCCAAGAGAGUUUAUAGAGCAGGCAAAAGAACAGUGGAUUGUGCAGACUGGAGAACAUCCAGGACAGGGGGGUGAGCAUAGGGCGUGGUUUCGCUCAACGGUGUUGGCAGGUCUACCAGAGCGAGUGAGAGCUGACCUAGAAAAGAAUCCAGACUUUGCGGUUGCAAAUUCUACAAAAUGGGAGAGACAUUUGAUCCACAGACUUCAGCUGGAGCAGGAUGAGGUGACCAACAAGAAAAAGGAGUUAGAGGAGGCGCAAGGGCAGCUGCUGAGAUUGCAACUGGCUGAGGCCAAGAUCAAAGUAAAUGAAAAGAAAAAAGAAAGUAAGGAGGGAGCUAAGAAAAUGUUGGUGGCAAAGCCUCAGGGCGAUCCUGGGCCCGACUGGCCAGAUUUGGACCCAAGUCUGUAUCCUGAUGACCGAUGGCCCGUCAAUGGACCAAGGCAAGGACAACCCACGGGGAAUUGA
This 1155-nucleotide long non-coding RNA is filed under the name Oreochromis niloticus (Nile tilapia). Its description in RNAcentral is "lncRNA (ENSONIG00000035306.1)". The record is from RNAcentral. Lineage: Eukaryota; Metazoa; Chordata; Actinopteri; Cichliformes; Cichlidae.